ACAUGUCGAUGGUUGGUGGCAAAGGAGUGGUGACAGACAAGGAAGGAGGUUGUUGGUUUAUACGAACAAAUGGUUGUGGGAUUGAGAAAUCCGGUGCUGCUAAUUUAACAAGUUCCUGGACGCUAAAUGUUGAAGGAUCGAAGGCAGAGGUGCUGAAAUCAUCUUCAGUGUAUGAUGAUGAUGAUCCCAUAUUGUUGAGGAAGGAGUCAGCCUCUUCAAUCUACAACAUACACCCCAUUGUUGGAGAUAUUUAAAGGGAAAAACAAAGGUUACAGCUGUUUUUGUAUGAGGUAAGAAUACAAUAGGUACAAAAGAAGAUAUUGACUUGGCAACAUGAUAAUUUUAAUAAAAAAAUGGAAAUAGGGUAUGACAGAAUAUGAUAAUGGAUUUUUUUUUAUAAAUAUUUCACAAAAAAUUAUUGAUACUUUUUUUCAUUAAAUGCUUAUUUUUAUUUAUCGAAUAAACAAAUUUAAUUUAUGGGAUAUUUUACCCAUCUAACCCAAAAAAAAUUAAUAUUUAUAAAAAUAACACUGGUUCAAAAAUAUUUACGAAAUGACCUGAAAUGCCUCACCAUUACUUGAUGAUUGUGUCAGACUUUAAAAAAAUAAAAUUUUUGAGUUUGGGACAUGAAUGGCUGGCACUAGGGUAUAUAUUUUUUAAAUUGUAUCAUACUGGUAUAUAAAAAAUACUAGUAUUUGAUUUUUUUUUUCGGUUUUGGCCAUGUAAUGGCCGGCACCAGAGGCAUUUAAAUUUUUUUUUUGGAUGGUGGCCAAUAGAUGGCCGGUACCAAGUACAUUUUUCGGCUCCCAAGAAACUUUUUUUUUACUUUGGGACACUGACGGCCUGCACUAGUGUCAUUUAAAAAUUUUUUUGGGUGCUAGCGAGUAGAUGGUCGGCACCAAGUACAUUUUUCGGUUCCCAAUGCAUUUUUUUUACUUUGGGACACUGAUGGCCGCACUAGUGUCAUUUUAAAUUUUUUUUUCUUGGUGCUGGCCAGUAAAUGGUCGACACCAAGUCCAUCUUUCAGCUCUUAAGGCAUUUUUUUUACUUUGGGACAUUGAUGGCCCGCACCACCUUUUUCGGGUCCCAAAAAUAUUUUUUUUGGUUUUGGGACACCGAUGGCCGGCACCAACUUUAUCAGAUUAAAAAAUAUUUUUUUCUUAUUUUGGAAUACUGAUAGGCGACACCAAGUAUUAGAAAAUUAGUUUUCUUAAUUUUGAGAAUCAGAUGGCCGACACCAAAUUUAUCAGAUAUAUAUAGGUGUUUUGUCUUCCAUUUUAGUUUUUGUUUACUUUAUUAGUUGAAAAUUGAGAUUAAAAACAUCAGUUUUUUCUGUUGAGAAGGAAGCAAAAAUUUUUUAAGAUGAGUUCCCAGAUUUUGUUUGUUUAUGUUCAUUUCGAUGGAGAAAUGAUAAAUACAACUGAAGAAGGUUGUGUAUUUCAAAGUCGGAAAAAAUGAAUAAGAUUUAACAAGCGUGUUUCGUUGGCGGAUUUAAAACAAAAAAUCAGUACAAAGAUAGCUACCCGUUGCAGAAAGCAAAUGUUGAGACUGUUUUACAAAAUUUUCGGUUGCAACAGAUCCGCCUAAGUUAUCAGAAAUGGAGCUUGAAGAUGAUGAUGAUCUAGGGACAAUGAUAGCAAUUUAUUGCCCCUCCUGAAAUGGAAAAUCCCAGCCCGGUUGAGUUGUUCGCGAAGAUAGCUGAACUGGAUCCCAUUCAAGUUGUAAUUUUAGCAAGCCAAUGUUUUGGAAUUGAUUUUGAUCUUAACAUCUCCUAGAAAGAUUAGUCGGGUUGUGGACGGUCAAUGCCAACUCUCGAAAAUCCAAAAACCAGUGGAUGUUCAUAUAGCAUCCCAAACUCAUGUACUUGUCUAGAGAUCCAUCCAGAGGUGUUGGCCACCACAGAAGAUGGUGACGAAGGGUCUGAUAAUGAUGACCAGUCCCAUUGUGAUCCCAACGAUGAUUUCAGUGACCCAAGUUUGGAUGACAUCCCUGAACACAUAGACGAGGAAGACCAGGUGGAGGGUGAUAACCCCCAUUCGGUCGGGAACACGGAACCUGAUAUAGUUAUAAGAAAUAAUCUAGCGUCCUUCAUAACCGACGUAGAUUCUGAUGUGGCUUCUGCACGCGAGUUCUCGGAAUAUACAAAAAUUGGCUGGCUCACCUACUUGAUGAUGAAUUCAACGAUGAAGAGUUGUUCGUAGGACAACAAUUCAAUAACAAGAAAGACUGUUUACAUGCUAUAAAACAACUUAGCUUGAAGUUAGGUGUGGAUUAUAAAGUAACGAAGUCGACGCAGUCUUUGUACGUAGGAGAAUGUUGGAAAGCCUCAAGUGGGUGUAAUUGGCAUGUUCGAGCCGCGCUAAUGCAACGGACACAAAUGUGGAUGAUAAGGAAACUAGAAGGUCCACACACAUACACGUCUGCUCGUAUGUCAUAAGACCAUUGAAAGUUAGAUGCAAAAACUAUAUGCAACUACAUAAUCUAUUUGGUGAAAGAGUCACCCACCAUUCAGGUGUCGGUCCUUAUUGCUGACAUGCAAGCUUGAUUCAAGUAUAAAGUGUCAUAUCGAAAGGCAUUGUGGGCAAAGUAAAUAGCGAUGCGAGAGUUGUAUGGUGACUGGGAUGCGUCAUACAACGAGCUUCAAGGAUGGAUAAUCGGGAUGCGAGAGUAUGUGCCCGGGAUAGUGAUUGAUUUGCAAACACUGUCAUAUAAAGGCUCAAACAGAUAGAUACAAUUGGGGAAACGAGUUUUUCACUGAUUAUUUUAGACGUGCGUGUGUUAGGGCCUUCCCUCACUACAAGCCGAUGGUGCAGGUGGACGAGGCUUGGUUCUACGAUAAAUACACGCAAAUGCUCCUGAUUGUUGUUGCACAAGACAUCAACGGUAUUUCCGAUUGCUUUGGCCAUCGUGGAGCGUGAGUGCUUCAAGUCUUGGGAAUUUUUCUUCAGAAAUCUACGGAGGCACGUUGUUAGAGAAGACAAUAUUUGCCUUAUAUCAGAUAGAUCGAAAGGAUUACUUGCUGUGAUAAGGCAAUCGGGGGUUCUGUGGAGGUCUGUUUAUUGCAUCCGGCACAUUACGGUAAACUUUCACAGAGAUUAUAAGAAUAAAGAUUGGAAAAAAUAAUUCUUGAAUAUGGGUAAAAAAUAUUGUUUGUAUUUAUUUCAAAAAUUCCUUUUCAAAUUUUUUCAGCCUGUAAGUUUUUAAAAUACUAAUUCCAAAUUGCAUAUGCCGCUUAUGAGUUAGAGCUGCAAAGAUUCAACCAGAGGUUCAUGAGGCUUGAAUCUCAGAUGUCAUCUUUACUAAUAGAUCUUGGGACAUGGUUGGGUAGCAUGGAAAACUAGCAAUGGACUUAAAAUUACGAUGAAGGGUUUCGGUAUGGGCAGAUGACGACCAACCUGGUAGAGGCAGUUAACUCUAUAUUAAGGCGCACACGUCAUUUGCCGAUUUUUACUGUUUUCUCGGUAACAUUAUAUAGGUUGGACACAUUAAUGCCUAGGAUGGGGUUGAGACAAGCUAAGCAGAUCGAGACUGGGCACGCGUACGUUGAGGCCGUCUGAAAGGCUAUGGCGGUAAAUAGUCAAAAGGCACAAACAAUGAACGCAAAAUUGUAUUCGCGUGACUCGGGUCUUUCACCUAGAUCGUACGCAGUUGAUUUGUGAAACAGGCGUUGCGAGUGCGAGAUAUUUCAGACUCUUCGAUAUCCAUGUGCGCAUGUUCAUGCAGCGUGUUCGAGAGCAAACUUAAAUGUUGAACAAUUCAUAGACGAGAUCUACACAUUGCAAUGCACAUUGCGUAUAUGGGGGAACAAAUUUCAUGUAAUCCCCGAUGUCUCAAACUGGGAAGUUCCACCACCUGCUUUCGAGAUGGUGCCUGACCGUAGUUUUCGUAGACAUCCUAAAGGUCGACCACAAUCGACGAGAAUUCGAAAUGACAUGGACAUCAGGGAGACGGGCGAACCCAAACUGUGCACUGUGUGUUGAACAUCUGGACACAACCGAUCAACUUGUCCACAUCGUGUUUAUGUUUUCAGUUAAUCGUCUCGUAAUGCCGGACUCGAAGAUGACGAAUGAUAUAUUAUUGAACGCAUGUUCUUGUAAAAACAUUGUAAAAAUAUGAAAAAUUAUACAAAUGAUAUACUUUAUUCAAAUUAUACAAUUGAUUAAUUAUAAUUAAUAAUACAUAUUUUUUCUUAUUCCUAAUUUAAAACACAUUAAAUUAUAAUACAAUAUACAUACAUAUUUAUUUUAAAACACAUUAAAUUAUAUUAAUUGAACUGAAAAUCAAAUAAAGUAAAAAGUGAAAUGAAAAUGAAAUUAAAAUAAGGGAAUGAAAUGAAAUGAAAUUCAAAUUUAAUAGAAAUUAAAGAAAAAAAAGAGAUUGAUUUGAGGUGAACUGCUAAAAAGAUGAAAUAUAUAAAUUAAUAUGGAAAAACAUAAAUUAAAAUGGAAAAAAAGACAACUUAAAUGAAAUGAGAAAAAAAUUAAAUGAGAAAAAAAAUUAAAUUUAAAUAGAAAAAAAGAUAAUUUAGAUGAAAUGGAAAUAAAAUGAAAAAAAAAGUUGAAAGGACAGGUCAGGCCAGUGUCAGGCUUGCGGCAGGCCUGACAAGUGGGCUUUUAGUGGCCGGCACCAGCAGACGGCCUGCAGGCACUAGGCCUGCUACGAUGUGACCCAAUAGGUCAGGCUUAAAAAAAACCAAAAAAAGGAAGAAGAGAAAAUUUUAUUUAAAUUUAAAAUUUUGAAAUGAAAUGAUAUUUAAAUUGAGAAAAAACUUAAAUAAAAUAUGAAAAAAUUUAAAUAAUAUGUAAUUGAGAUUACUUCUAAUGAAUAUGAAAAAAUAUGAAAUGAAUUGAAAAAAUAAUUUGAAUUGAAAAAAGAUAAAUUGAAAUUAGACUACUUGUGAUUCAUAUGAAAAAAAAUUGUAUAUUAGAAAAAAUAAAUUUAAAUGGAAAAAAAAUUAAUGAAAUGAAAUAUUAAAUGAAUAUGAAAUGAAAUGUAAUUUGUAAUGAAUAUGAAAUGAAAUGAAAUGAAUUUGUAAUUAUUAUGAAAUGGAAUGAAAGUUUAAAAGAAAAUAAAUUAUAAAUUGAAAUGAAAACAAAAACUGAAAUGAAAAAAAAUUAAUAUCUGAGCUACUUGUUAUUAAUAUGAAAAAAAUUGAAAUGAGAAAAAAUUAAAUUUAAAUGGAAAAAAAAGAUAAUUUAAAUGAAAUGGAAAUGGAAAUGAAAUGAAAAAAAAAAGUUGAAAGGACGUGUCAAGGCCUGUGUCAGGUCUGCGCCAACUUCAGGCCAGUCAACAAUGGCCAGGAAUUGGCCGGCACCAAGCCCAUUCGGCCUUCCAUUGGCCGACACUAGCAAGCUUGGUGUGACGUGACCCAACGGGUCAGAAAGUGAAACAAGUUUUUUUGGUUUUUUUUUUUCCAAUUUUACCUCUGCUCAGCCACUAUGGUCCCCCACUAUAAAUGAGGUACUUCAACUUAAAACCAGAUCACCACCGUUGAUACCUGCCGUUCACCGUUGACCGCCACUGUUAACUGCUGACCGUCGCCGUCCUCUGCCUACCGACAACUGUCGAUUACCUCCAAACACCUUUGACAACCUUCGUUCACCGUCGACCACCGUCAAUCACUCGAUGGAUCCUAAUCCUAAUCCUAAUAUUUUUUUAAAUGACAACAACCACGUUGCUAAAAAUGUGAAUAAGGUAAACGAGAAGAAAAAUGUCCCGUUUAAUUUUAAAUAUUCAUUUAAAUUCUUUUUUAAACGAGAAAUAUAACAUUUUAUAUUUACUAUAAACGUAGGGUCAGUAUCGAAUUGUGAGGCCCUGGUUGCAUGAUCCUGGUUAUUUUUCCAAUAAAAGAGUUUUACCGUAUUUGAACGUUGCAGGUUUUGAGAUAGCCGUGUACAUUAAGAUAUCUGAGCUGCGGGCCAAUUUAAUAUCGACCUUAGUAUAAAGAUGGUGCCCGGAGACACAUACGUUCCACCUCCCGUGUGGGGGUAACUAUUACACUGCAAGAUGUAGCAGUCCAAUUAGGGCUGUCUAUAAACGACGAAGCAGUGACUAAGUUUGGAAAAGUGCUCGAUCCGUGGGGUACUUGCUAGCGGUUACUUGGAAGAGUGCCCCCAACGAUGUGGAAGAACGAUUAACCAAUAUUAAAUUUACUUGGUUGAGAGAAAACUUCCAACAUCUUUCGAGUAGUCCAAUGCAGAUGGGCAUUAUCUACGUUGCAAGAGCGUUCAUUCUGCAACUUAUAAGUGAGAUGCUUUUGUCGGACGUCCAUCAAAAUAAAGUCAACAUCAUGUAUCUCCCUUUAUUAGAGGAUCUUGAGCUUGCCAGAAGAUUUAGUUGGGGCUCUACAGUAUUGGCAUGCUUAUAUCGUGAGCUUUGUCGAGCGACAAAGUCGUCUACAAAAACAAUGGGCGGUUGCUGCGUUCCACUGCAGUUUUGGGCGUUAUACCAAAUGCCAUUUCUAGCAUCAGUGAGCCACCAAUUGUAUGUGUGGCCACUCGUGAACUGGUAAAUAUAUAGUUCAAUUUUGACAUCUAUUUUUUAAUUGUAUAGUAUAGUAUACUCAUUUUUGCAAGGAAAAAAUAUCUAAUAAUUUAUUCUUUUUUUUAGAUGGGCAACUGUACCGAGAAUCAGACGAUCGUUCACCAUACCUGUGUACCGUAUGAUGAUCGAGACUCAUUUCGGGGAUGGCGUGAAAUACGCUUCUGAAUCUUUCUUUUUUAAAUACAAUAAUUGUACAAAAAAAAUUAACUAAUAACAUGUUGUCUAUAUUAUGCAGUUUUUAUGGAUGCUAUAUGUUGAGGAACGGAUCGCGAUGCUCAUACCAUCAUGGGUUACCGAGUAGCAACAACUAUUUGAAUGUUCCAUUGAUUCAUUUCCAUAUGGUAGAGUGGCACGAUAGAGGUCGGGUAUUGAGGUAGUUCGGUUGCGCACAACCUAUCCCGAACCCUUCCGUCGACAUCAAAGAAGUCAUCGAAAUGGACAAAAAGGGUUCGGGUCGGGACAUUUUAAAUUGGGCAGAAAAAGAUGAAACAUAUAUCUUUCUGUGGCAUGAUCGACAUUCAAGGCGCCUUCCCUUGUAUGUCUUAGAGGGAGGGUUCUCUCCUACACGCGAGUAUGCAGAAUGAUAUAUGGCAUACAGAAAGCCUUUUAUAUUCCAAGGUCAUUAUAUGUUGAUCCCGAAAGACGCGAGACCAAAAUCUUCUCGAUGGCAACAGAGGAACGCACGAUUGUGCCGUAAUCGAGUUUCGCCAUUCAGGAGCAUCGAAACUGAUUCUACCUAGAACCCCGAUCCCGAGCCUCAAUAUGAAGCAUCCGGCUCGUCAUCAUACCACUUGGAGCUGGAGCCCGAGCCCCAAUUUCCUCUAUCGUUCGAGGAUAUUUUUGGUGAUGACCCCGAGCCUUAACAUUCGACACGGUCCGAAUUGUCUUCAUACCACCCGGAGCUCGAUCGAGAAGCACAUACACCUAUUACUAAGGAUAUUCUUCCAUCGGCACCUUAAGUUACGCAAUACCUCUUAACUCUCGAUUAUGGUGUAUAUGGUUAUACUACUUUUCUAAGUACACCGGAUGGGAUACCAGAGGUCAGACCGAGCAACUAUCAAAUGCCUCAGCAAUGUGCACGACAUCGCCAAUGAAGGCAGCCGAACCGUUACACACCAACGCUGGGGACGUCGUCGAGAUCACGACAAUUUGAUUUUUAUCUGUAAAUAUUUACUUUAUUUUGUAAUUAUUCUAUUUUUAAUAUUAAUUUAAUUUCUCUAAAAUAAGUAUUUGUUUGAAUAAAUGACUUCAAAAUAUUUAAUAAAAAAAUAUAAUUUGAAUAAGUAAUAGUACACAACAAAUUAAAUUUACAAAUACAAUAAAAUACAAAUAUUCUUGAAUAUUAAUAUACAAAAAUAUAAAAUUUAAACAAAAAUAAUACGCAUUAAAUUAAAUUUAAACACCCAAAAAACUAUAAACAGAUGGGUAAAUUUAAUACACAAAUUUUAAAUUCAAACUACAUAUAACACAAACUAAAUUAAAUUUAAACACCCAACAAACUAAAAACAGAUAGGUAAAAUUAAUACACGAAAAUUUUAAAUUCAAACUAUAUAUAAUACGGGCUAAAUUAAAUUUACAGAUACAAAAAAAUACAAACAUUCUAAGAAAUUAAUACACAAAAAUAUAAAAAUGAAACAUUAAAUCCUAAACAACUACAUUGAAUUUAUAGAUAUAAAAAAUACAAAUAUUCUAAAGAAACAAUAUAAUUAUUUUGAAUAGUAGUUUCUUCACAAUUAGUCGUCUUAUACUUGAAUCGGGUUUACGUUGCAUCAGUACCCCACUUAUAAGUUGCGGAAUAAACGCUCUUGCACCAUAGAUAAUGUCCAUCUGCAUUGGACAUCUCGGUUAGCCAUUUAUGACGCAAUAAGUCAUCCUACCCUUAAUGGCAUAACCUUUAAGGUUGACAUGACAAUAUAUAAUUCAACUCUGUUAAAACAUGAUAGUAUAUAAUUAAACUCCGAAAUUCGGUUGUACACUACAAAAAACUUCCAUCUACAAUCCAUUACAAAAAACUCAUUUGAUGAUAACAUUAUCAUUUUGAUGGCUCUCUCAAAAAAAAAUUUCUCAUCCAUUUACACUAUCAGAACCCAAACCACCCCCUAUAUAUAGAGUGAGGGGAGGUUUCGGCCAUUUGAUUCCCAAAAUUAAUAAAAUUAAUAUUUUAAUACUUGGUACCGGCCAUCAGUGUUCCAAAAUAAGAAAAAAUAAUUUUUAUAAUCUGAUAAAGUUGGUGCCGACCAUCGGUAUCCCAAAACAAAAAAAAUUUUCGGGACCCAAAAAAGGUAGUGCCGGACAUCAGUGUCCCAAAGUAAAAAAAAAGUGCCUUAGGAGUCGAAAAAUGUACUUGGUGCCCGCCAUCUGCUGGCCGACACCCAAAAUAUUUCUUUAAAUGACACUGGUGUCGGCCAUCAGUGUACCAAAGUAAAAAAAAGUGCCUUGGGAGCCGAAACAUGUACUUGGUGCUGACCAUCUACUGGCCAGCACCCAAAUUUUUUUUAAAUGACACUGGUGCCGGCCAUCAGUGUCCCAAAGUAAAAUAAAAGUUCAUUGGGAGCCGAAAAAUGUACUUGGUGCUGGCCAUCUAUUGACCAGCACCCAAAAUUAUUUUUUUAAAAUGCCCAUGGUGCCGACCAUUACAUGGCCAAAACCAAAUUUUUUUUCAAAUACUGGUAUUUUUGUAUACUAGUAUGAUACGAUUUUUUAAAAAAAAACCCUGGUGUCGACCAUUCAUGUCCUAAACUCAAAAAAUUCAUUUUUUAAAGCUUGACACAAUCAUCAGGUAAUGAUGAGGCCAACAUACAAGGUGAUGCCAACCAUUGGGUUCCCAAAACCCAAAUUUACUGUUCAUUUCAGGUCAUUUUGGUGAAUGUUUUUGAACCAGGGUUAUUUUUGUAAAUAUUAAAUUUUUUGGGUUAGAUGAGAAAAAUAGCCUAAUUUAUGAGUAAAAUUUGUGGGUGGACAUAUAAUCAAAACGAGAUCAAUGUAAUAUUAGCCGUACUGAAAAGAGAAAUAUUUAACGCACUAACUUACAUUCAUGAUCUAAAAGAGAUAAAGAUCAAUUUUACAUUACAAGUUAUAAUUUUUGUCCGGAUAAAAUUACAAGGCUUUCUCACAAAUAUUGUGACUCAACAAGGUAUAAGUUUUGCAUGGAUAAAAUUAGAAAUCCUCCUCACAAAUUUUUUAGUUCAUUUGUAAAGUUUUACUUAUUAAUUUUGAUAUAACAAAUAUUAUAUUUUGAAUAAAAUUCAUUUUAAACAUAACUUAACAAGAAUUUCAUUUUAAAUGAUAUCUAAAAGAAAAAUGGUUGAACUCAUACUUUAAAAAUAUUUUUGAAGCCAAAUUAGUCAAACAAACUUUAACAUUCUUCAGACAUAUUAAAAUUGCUCAUGGCCAAAAAGUAUCGACAAGUAUCGAUAAAUUUAAAUGAGUAUCAAUAGAUUCACAAAUUUAUCGAUACAUUUUUUAGUACCGAUACAAAAAUGACAUUUUGUUUUUAAAAAUGUUUACCAAGUAUCGGUCUGGUAUCAAUACCUUUUGUUGGGUAUCGAUAAAUUUCUUCAAGUAUUGAUAAUGAUAUACUUUUAUCGGUACAUUUAUCGAUAUCGAUACGAAAUUGACAUUCUGACUUCUAAAUCUUUUAUCAAGUAUCAAUACGGUAUCGAUACCUCAUAUUUGGUAUCGAUAGAAUUUCCUAGGUAUCGAUAGUAUUGGUUCCAACUGUUACUAAAUUAGGCAUUAAAUGCUAUUGGUAUCGAUACUUGUAGAAAAAACAUCGAUACCUGUUGUUGUAGGUGACAUUUAUGCACUGGUAUUUUCAUCCCCAACAACUCUAUUCAAUAUCCCAACAACCACAACGGUUGGAAAUCAAUUGAAGGGUAUAACUAUCAGCUUCUAAAUGUCUUACAACAACAAGAGAGAUUAUUGAAGCAUAAAAAUCAAUCAAACAACCUUUGUGCUUAAUAUUUUCAUACUUUUCUUACAUACACUUGUGAGUUUCAUUGUUUAUCUAUUAGCUCAAGUUUUUUCUUUGUAAUUGUGCUUAAUUGACAAACACUUUGAUCUUAUCAGAGUUAUUUAUUAGUUUGCUUGUUUGUUUCUCUUUGAGAAGGUUUGAGUCUUAAGAUUUGUGUAGAAAUCUUAAGAGAGUUGUAAGGUUAAACCUUAUCCUCAAAAGUUGAUCAUAUAAAUGAAUUUGAGAAAAUCCUUAGUUGUGAAAAGCUAAGGUAAUGGAGUAGGAGUUUGGGGCCGAACAACUCUAAAUCAUUGUGUUCAAUUUUUCCAUCCUUUCUCUCAAGAUUCCACAAAAUUUUUAAAAUCCAAUUCACCUCCUUUUAGUAUUUUCAGAUUGAUUUAUUGAUCUAACAAUUGAUAUUAAAGCUAGUCUCUAAAAGAUAGAUUGGCAACUAAAAGAAGAUCUUCAGGAAAACUCUUCCAAUCGUUAACUCAAUUCACAAAGAAUGACGUUUACUUCUAGUCCAGUUUUCUAUGGAGAAUCUCAAUCUAUCUCCAAGCCUCAUUAUUUCAAUGGUGCAAAUUAUUCUUAUUUGAAGACGAGGAUGAUGUUAUUCAUUCAAGCCAAUACCUUUUGGCAUGAGAUAUCAUCAUAGAUGGUCCCCCUAUUCCACUCAAACAAGAAGGAGAGCUUCUAGUUCCAAAGAGUAAGAAAGAAUGAAAUGAGAAAGAUAGCAGGAGCAUUCAACUUAAUGCCAAGGUUAUGCACACUCUAUUUUGUAUAUUUGGUCCCGAAGAGUAUAGUAGGGUGUCAUCAUGUGCCAAUCUCAAGGAGAUAUGAAACAAUCUUGAAGUCACUUAUGAAGGUACAAAUCAAGUGAAGAAGUCCAAAGUUGGAAUUUUUACUCCCAACUAUGAAACCUUCAAAAUGAAGCCCGAAGAGAACAUCAAGGUAAUGUCCAAUCAAUUUACUAUAAUCAUCAAUGGAUUAAAGUCAUAUAGGAAGACUUAUCUCAAUGAAGAGGUAGUGAGAAAAAUACUUUGAAGCUUUCCUAAAUCAUAAGAAACUAAAGUAACUGCUAUUGAAGAGGAAAAGAAUUUAGAAACACUUACUCUAAAUGAGCUUAUCAGUUAUUUUCUUACAUAUGAGAUGGGGCUCAAAGAAGGGGUCAAAGAAAAUGUUGAAAAUAAGAAGGUCGAUAUAUCCCUCAAAUCCACAACAAUUGAAGAGAGUGAUUCAAGUGACGACGUGGAUAAGGAUAAAGAGAUAGUCAUGUUUGCUAGGAGAUUCAAGAGGUUCAUGAAGUCUAAUAAAAGAAGAAGAUUCCAAAAGAAGGAGGGAUUGAAACUUGAGUCCACUAAAGACAAAGAUCCUAUCAUUUGCUAUGAGUGCAAAAAGUCGGGACACGUCAAAUUCGAUUGUCCACAAUGGAAUAAGAAGGGAUCAAGCAAACAAAAGCUCAAGGUUAACAUUGCUACUUGGAGUGACGAAGAUUCUUCCAAUGAAGAUGAGCAUGAAGUAGCCAAUCUUUGCCUUAUGGCCAUAAAUGGACCAAAGGUAACUUCUAACUCAUCUAUUUCAAUUUUUUAUUCAUUUGAUGAGUUACAAGAUGCCUAUGAUGAACUAGGAUUAAAGUUUAAAAUUAUGAUUUCAAAAUAUAAGGAAAACAUUUCAAAAUUAAAAGAUGAAAAGAGUUCACUCUCCAAGAUUCUCCAAGACUAAUCAUGAACUUGAAAAUAAAAUAAAUGACAUGCAAGCUAUUAUAAAUGAUUUUGUGAAAAAGAAUUGACUUGUAUAAUUUGUUUUCUAAAGUUCGUGAUGAUCACGAAAAGCAACUUGAGUUGCUAAAGAUUGAAAAAACUCACCCUAACAAAGAUUUACCAAAAAGAUUUGAGAAAGGAGAAAGUUUAAAACAAAACUUUGUUAAACUAGUUUUAAUUUCUAUAAACAUAGAGUUCCCUUAAGAUUAUACAAGGCAAAACUUGUUAAAAGUGUAUGGGUCCCUAAAGUUAGUGCUACUCAAGACAAGGAAGCUCUUUCAAAAUGGAUACCUAAAGGGAGUAAGAUUUUAGGAACUAAUGCUUAUAGACCCAAAAGAAUUUGGGUACCAAAAAUCAAAGUUUAAUUUUAUGUUUGUAAGAAAAUGAGCAUUGCUUCAAAUUGGAAAAUUCAAUAUAAACUCGUGGUACCUUGAUAGUGGAUGCUCAGGACACAACCUGUGGCAUGAGUCAUUUUAUCAAAUUGAAGCCAAAAAGUGGAGGAGAAGUUACGUUUGGUGACAACUCCAAAGGAAUUAUUGAAAGAAUUGACUCUAUCGGUAAAAACUCUUCAAUAUUUAUUGAAAAUAUCUUAUAUGUUAACGGUCUUAAGCAUAAUCUCUUAAGUAUUAGUCAAUUGUGUGAUAAAGGUCUCAAUGUCAUCUUUGAAUCUAAUGGUUGUAAAGUAAUUGACAUUGUAUCUAAUAAGAUUGUGCUUGUAGGACAUAAAAUAGGAAAUAUAUACAUGGUGCAUUUAGAUGAAAUGCAUGAAUUAAACAUAUUCCUUAAUGCUAAAAAUGAAAAUAAUUCUUUUUUGUAGCAUAAGAAAUUAGGACAUGCUAGCAUGAGCAUAUUGCAUACAUUAGCCAAAAAUAACUUAGUAAGAGGUUUUGCUUAUACAUUGUGAAAACUCUUAUAGUAUUCUAAUAUAUUGAAUUUGCUAAAUGUGAUUUAAGCUAUGUAAUUUGAAUAAAUAUGUUUAUCGAUUACUUUGGUUGUCUUGUGAUGGAACUCACACAGAGCUUUCAUAGCUCACCCCUUUAUUUUCUUACUUUUCAGAUAACCCAUAAGGUCAGGAUACGGACUCGGCAUUCGGAGGGCUCGACUCGGAAUAUUGAUUUCUAUAUAAAAGUAUUUUAGACUGAUUAUUUUAUAAUUCUGGUUGUUUGAAACUAUAUUAACAUUAUUGUGGCAUGAGACUUAGUUUACAAUUUUUACUUAAUGCAUGCAUGACAUUUAAAUCAUUCAAGUUUUUAGAAUAUGAAUUUUAUCUAAUUAUACAUGAAACAUGAUUUUUAUUAAAAUUAUGUUAAUAUCUCUUUUCCCCUGCUAAAUUGCAAAUGUGUUUUGUUAAGAAAGUAACUCGGAUUUUCAACUCAACAUUAUCAUCGUUAUAAUGAAGAUAUUAAACUUAAUCAUUUUUUGAAACUCUGAGUUUUUCUGAAAAGAGACCAAAACUUCUAAAAUAAACAAACGUUUCUUUGAUAAUUUUGUCGGACCAUUUCAGUGGCUGAUGUAAUCCCCCGAAUUUAGGUCUAAUAUUUAAACCGAAUUGAGAAAGUUACAAUACUAAUCUAAUUAAUUCUCAACUAAAUCUAUUAAUAGAAAAAAUUGAGUUGUAAUGAUGUGACUACAUGAUUAAUUAUUGUUUAUUAUGCCAAGAAAAUUGGUAGCCAUAUGCAGUUGGAUUGAUGAUAAUCAUAAAGCAACAUAAACCUAAAAUAUAUGAUUUAUUUAUUUUUGCUCCAAUUUAAACGUGCUUAAUUGUAUUUUUAUUCAAAAGUCGUUACAUUUGAUUUGACAUUAUUACUUUUUUUAAUUUUGUAAUAAAAUAAUGUUGUAAAUAAAUCAAAGUUGUGGGAGGAGAAACACUCAUUUUAUUCAAGUAUCAUAGUUACUUAAAACUGUAUUUCUUUAAUAAAAUUUUAAUUUUAUAAGAAAACAAUUUUUUAUCUAUGAAGUGAAAACAGGAUUAUUUAAUUAUGUCUUGUCUUUCAUUUUGAAUUAGUGUAUUUAAAUUUUAUAUCGGAAAAUUACUUUUUCUUCUAAAAUCAAUUCAUUUUCAAAUGAAAAUUUUUUAGCAUAAAUUAUGUAAAAUUUGAUAGUUGAAUGAUUGAAACGUAAUUUUAUACAAAAUUUAAGGAUUGUUAUAUAUAAUUAUUUUUAUCAUGUAUUUAGUUACUAUCAUUUAUUCAAAUUAUUGAAGAUCCAUAAAUUUUUUAAUAAUUUUUAUUUAAAAAAUCAAUCUAAAACUGAAAAUUUAGUGACUUGCUUUUUUUUCUAUGGUAGUGACUAAUUGUUAGUUAACCUGUUAUAUUUUAAUUGAAAAUAAUGAAUAUUUUUUAUAUAUGUAAUUUAUUAAAUUUAAUUUAAUUAAUAAAAUUAUAUAUUUAAAUAAGAUAAUUGAUCAGCUUUAAAAAAAUUUAAAAUAUUUAUUUUAUAGCUUUAAAGUUCAAUAAAAUACGUAUAUAUUAUAUUUUAAUUGGCUUAAAGGAAUGUUAGCAUAAUUUGAGUUUGUAUAAGUGAAUUUGAUUUGCCUUAGUGUAAAUUUAUGGCUAAUUGAUUUGAAAGAUGUAAAUUAGUUAAAAUGAAAUGUUUAGGUAUGUUUUGAAAUAGUUUAUGCAGGAUAUAAGUGUGUAUUAUGCAUUAAUUGUGUUAAUGGUUUGGUUUGGCAUGAAAUAUGUAUCAAAUGGUUUAAAAUGUAUAAAAAAAUAGAGUCCACAUCGAGACAAUAAACUUGCCUUGUCACAACGCUGGCUGGCAGUUUGUGACUUCCCGACAUCGAGUGGUCAAACAUCGCAAUGUGGCAAACUAUUUGGCAACAUCACAACAUGGAGGAGGCCGACAUCGUUUUUAAAAUUUUACAAUUUGGUCCUAAAUCUUGCUCGAGUCAACAAAAGAGCUUUUGUGAGCUCCAUUAAGGCUCAGAUUUAGUUGAGAAUCAUAUUAUGAAUGUGUUUUAAGUCAUAAAUAUUUGUUUGGUUGUUAUAUUUACUGUAUUCUAUCAGAAGUUGCUCUGGUAACGGAUUUGACAUCUCGUAACUCAGAUUUGACGAUUAGGUCAGGUGAGGGGUGUUACAAAUACUUCCGUACCAAAGGCACCAUGGAUGAUGUCGCUUUGUUAUAGUGGCGUCGUAGGUCUAGAGAUGAGAAAUGAGGUGGAGCUACCAUUGGGACUUGAAAGGAAUUCCAGAGUAAUUUCAAUGGGCAAUUUUACCUAGAGUAUGUCGAGGAUGAGGCUCGGGCUAAGUUCCGCCGGCUUAUGCAACAACAUACAAUAGGACAUAUGUAAAGAAGUUCAGUGAGCUGAUGCUCCAAAUUUUUGAUUUGGGUGAGAAGAAGGUAUUUUUCUCCUUUAUGGAUAGGCUAAAACCGUGGGAAAAGCAAAAUUUUCAAUGCUAAGGGGUUACAAAACUUCCCAAAGCUAUGACCAUAGCGGAGUCCUUAAUCAAGCUUGUUCCGAAGAAAGACAAAUUUGAGUCUUCCAAGGCUAAAGAGAAGGGAAAUGGUAGGGGAGAUGAAGGACAAGUUGGGAACAGUAACGAUAAUAGUGGUAAUGGGAAACCAGAUAACGGGAAGUGGAAGCCUAACAACAAACCAAAGAGGCCAAUGAAAUGCUUCAUUUAUGACGAUCCACAUAUGGUAAAGAACUGUCCGAAACGAUCCGUACUUUUUUCUAUCAAAGGGGACGAUUAGUCAAACAAAGCAUCGAUGAAGUUUGGUUCAAUUUUGAGUUCUGUCGAUGCCAAGCGGGGAAAAGAGAAUAAGAAGAAGCCAAUGAAGUGGUUCUUAUGUUGUGAUACGUAUAGGAUACAAGACUAUCUAGAGCGAUCCAAUUUGUUUGCAAUCACUAAAAAAGAUGAAAUGGAGCUAGAGAAUGAGGCUUUAAAGCUUGGGUCAAUGAUACUCAAUUCUGGUAAAGCGAAGAGAGAUCACAAACAAAAAGGGUUGAUGUUUGUAGACAUCAACAUCGUAAGCCGAAGAAUGAGUGCUCUUGUUGAUAAUGAGGCAUUUAACUUGUUUAUACCGGAGAAAGCCGUGGGUAAACUUAGUCUCACAGUUAGCAAAUCGAUCAAGAAGAUCAAAAUAGUUAAUUCCAAAGAGGUUCCAAUCAUGGGAGUAACAUAAUGGGUUGAGCUACAAAUCGGCGAGUGGAAAGGCAAUUAAGACUUUGAUAAUUCAUUUAGAUGAUUAUGAAUUCGUGCUUGGCUUGAAUUUCCUCACUUGAAUUAAUGCUUUUUUGGAUCCUCUUUCUGAUUGCGUAACACCCUGUUAACGACCCAAUCGCCGAGUCUGAGUUACUAGGUGUCACAUUUGUUGCCAAAGAAACUACAAUCAACUACAUUUCAUUUAUACCAUUAAAUGACUAAUUUCAACUAAUACAUGCAUACAAUAAGAUAUACAGUCGUUUCUACAUUUUAAACGAGCUUACGAAUACUCUGAAGCUAACUCAAGGUAAAAUUAGUACCAAAUUUAAAAAAUCUUAAAACAUCGGAUUGACGUCGCGACGUCAAGGGGUUCCUCGUCAUGAUGCAAUCUACUGAGUGGGCCUCACCGCAACAAUCAAUACCGGACAUCACAUUGUGGCAUGGCAAGUUGUUCUCAUCGCGAAAACAAAUGUUAAAUGUCAUGACAUACUGAUUAGGGGUGAGAAAAAUUCGAUUCGACUCGAAAAAAUUGAAAAGAAAUUCAAAUUUCGAGUUAAACGAAUCGAGUUAUUUGAGUUAAUCGAGUUAUUUGAAUCAACUCGAAUUUUUUUUUCAAAUUUCGAGUUCGAAUCGAGUUGGGUUUUCGAAUUCGAAUAAUUCGAAUAAUUCAAAUAUCAAACUAUAAUAUUUUACAUUUUUACCCCAAACUCCCAAACCUUUUACUUUUCCCUCAAAACUUUUACUCCUUCCCACUUUCCCCCAAAACUUUUACUCCCCUCCCCUCCCAACCCCCCAAUCUACUCAAAAUUCAUUUCCCACCAAAAUUUUACUCUCCCAUUUGCUUUUUCUCAAAAUUUUACUUCCAAAAACCCUCAAAACCUUUUAUUUUUCCUCAAAAUUUGUACUCCCUCCCACUUUUUCCCUAAAACUUUUAUUCCCUUCCCAUCCUACCCCUCAUCUACCCCAAACCCUCCCCCCUCCAAUUUUUUUUUAAUAUUUUCCCUCCAAAAUUUUACUCCCCCUAUUUACUUUCCCUUAAACUUUUAUUCCCCCAAAAUUUUUAUUUUCUCCCUAAACUUUUACUUCUCAAAUAAAAAAUCAAAAUUAUCCCCAAAAAAAAUCACUAAACAUAAAUAGUAAUAAUUUUAUUUAUAUCUACUAUUUAUAUUAUUAAAUUAAAUUUCACAUUUUAUAAUUAUUGAAUUGUUUAGUCAUAUUGAAUAUUUAUAUUAAAAUUGAAUUAUUAAUUAUGCCAUAAAAUAUUCGUGUUAAAAUUUUAUAUUAGUAUCAAUUUCACAUUUUAUUUUUAAAAUAAUUUAUAUUAAAAAAAUCAUAUUUUUACAUUUAAAAUAUUUUUUAAUUCCAAAAUACAUAGUGACAAGAAUCUAAAGAUAAUUGAAACAACUAAGCAAGCAAAGAAGCUAACCAAUAUAUAAAAAAUUAAUAAAUAAAUUAUGAGGUGAUGAAAGUUAAUAAAAAAUUUGAUUAAAGUGGACAAAUUUUAUUACGAUGGGUGACAGUGGUUAUAAGGACACAAAAUUAUUUUUUAAAAUUUAACUCGAACAAAUAUAUUCGAUUCGAUUCGAAUUCCAUCUCACUCAACUCGAUUCGAGAAAACUUCAAAUAAAGUUAGAAUGAUAAAAUGAGAUUCGGAAACUCGAUUAACUCGAAAAUUUUUUAUUCGAUUCAAUCGAAUGCCCACCCCUAAUACUGAUUUCAAAUGGUCAGGUCUUAGUCUUUGGCCUCUUCUGCGAAACUCUAAACGUAGAAAGAGUUGGAGUCCGUUUAAAAUGCCUCAGAAGAAAAGUAAAAGGCAAUGGCGAAGAUCUUCAACCUGAAUACAUGAGUUAAGGCAUUUUGCAAAGAAUUUUGCUUUCCAGCUAAAGAGAGAUACAACUAAGGAUAAGACAAAAUGAACCGAUCAUUGACUACUUUUUUAUUCUUUUACGGAUUUUCAAGGUGGGAUCUCAACUCGUUAAUCAAGUUAUAGUUUGAGCAGCCAAACAUUGAAGAAUGUUUAUGACUGAGUUGGGAUUUAAAGCUGUGUUAUUAUGCAGCGAUGGUGAUGAUGAUGAGACUGUUUCUUCUUUUCACCAUCUUUUAGCACCAAUUUACUAACAGUUAUAGUGUUGUUUGGCGAUACCGUUUAAAGGAGGUAGUAAGGAUAGUGUUGUUGGCGAGCAAAAUGUUUUUUGGGUUGAAAGUUUUAUUGGAUUAAUUAUGGGUUUCGAUUUUUCCAAAUGCUUACGUGGAUCACCAUCAGAGACCAGUGCUUUCACCGGUCGUCAUCUUUGAUGGUUUCAAAGUGCUCAUCGUUCUUGCGUUCACAAUUAGAAUGAUAAUCUUGUGGUUAUGAUGUCUCCAAAGGUAUGGUUGUCACCCAAAUAAAAUUUGCACCAAUCUGGUUUUUUAUUCUUUUGUCACUUGUCAAUUUCGUUCUUUUUCUGCUAUUUAUUUAGGUUAAUUUUUGCUAUUAGUUCCUGCACUUUAUGAAAAUUGUGGAUUUAAUCCUUAUACUUUAAUUUAGUAAUUUUUUAUUUUUAUACUUUGUUAAAUUUUAAAAUUUCAAUCCUCACCAAAUUAUAACAAUUAGAUUCGUUAAGUUCUACUAUCUUCAAAAUCUAAUGCCACAAACAUAUUACUGCCAUUUGUGUUAAGAAUAAAAUUUCAAAUUUUGAAAAGUAUAAGGACUUCGAAUGAUUCAAUUGGAGAAUAUAGACUAAAUCUACAACUAUACGCAUAGUACAUAGUAGGUAAUUGAGUUUAACCCAACGAAUUCAACUGCUAUUGCUUGGAUGAGGACUACAAUUUAAAAAUUCAAAAAAGUACAUGGACUAAAAUUGAUAAAAUAAAUUAUAAAGACUAAAUUCACAACUUUUGCAAAGCACAUUGACUAAUUGUAGAAUUUGACCUUUUAUUUACAUUAUUUGAUACAAUAGUUAUACACACCAUAUAAGGGUAAGGCUUAACAAUCCCAAUAACCUAGGACCACUAGCCAUAUCUAGGGGAAUGACACCAACUUGACUACAGACUCCAUGUAUAAAAAAGCGUAAAAGUAAAUCCAAAAACCCUUAAAAAGCUUCACCUUACACCAUCAUUUUCCUUAUUAUCUUUAUUCUUCCUAUCUAUAAAAAGCAUAUAACUCAGUCGCCAUUUUCAGAAGGUUGAAUCCUCAUAUAAUCCAAAUAUUUUUUUCCAUAGAUCUUGAGGGUGAAGAACUGUUUGAAGUAUUCCUCCAUUCCCAUCCUCCUAAACAAUGGAGGGUUUUCUGCAUUUAUAAGACUCAAUGAAGGCCCUACCUCCGCCUCAAAGUUAGGACUCAAGUUGAAGGUAACUGUUAUUCUUUCUCUCUCUUUAUUGCAAGUAACCUUGUGUUCAACGCUGUGAUAAACCCCGUUGCUAAAUAUCUGCAUUUAACAUUUACACAUUUCUUAUAUACAUGCAUACAUAGGAAUAUGUGUUUUGUAAUAGUAAUGUGAAAAACUGGGUAGGGUGUUCUAUUAUUCAUUAAAUUAUGGUAAGUUUUUGUUUUACUCAUUUAAUUAAAAAAAAAGUUAUAAUUUAAUCACUAAAUUAUUCAAAAUUUUCACUUAAGUUACUGGACUAUUAAAAUUAAUGUUAUAUGACUUUUUUUGUUUGCACUAAUAAAAAACUAUUAUUUUCUUUUUCUUUCAUGAAACAACUUGACAUUGGCGGUCAUAUUUGUUCUACUCAUCGAUGAGUAUUGAUCCAUCAUAUCAAUCGUCAAAUCAUUACUUGGAGUUCGUUAGAGGAAUUUAAAAAAAAAACAAUCACCUAAUAACCUAAAUAAAACUUUCAAAUAAUUCAGCGAUCAAAUUGUAACUUUUUCUAGUUAAGUGAUCAAAAUAAAAACUUAUUUAUAAUUUAGUGAAUAAUGGUAGAAUUUACCAAAAAAAAAAACUUUGGACCUGGAAAAUGUCUCCAACAUUGACCACAAAAGCAUCUGGGUUGACGUUGAAAGGGAACCAAAGGCCAUUUUUUUUAACCUCAAGGCCAUCCACUCCAUUAAGUUGGUGUAGGAUAGUGAGGACAGUCAUAUCAGAGUGUGGAAUAAGACCCAUCACCGACUCUGGUUGUGGACAUGGAGGAUAAUAUGCCAUCCUCACCGCUUGCAUCCCAUCAUCAAUCAACUUCAUCAUCUCCUUUUCUUUAAUUUUCAAUGCUUUUCCCAUGAAACCAAUAAGUUUUGUGGCAAGCUUUUGGAGUUCCGAUAAGUAACACUCCAUCGUACUUCUGCAUCAUGAUGAUGAUGACAUCCAUUAAAUAUUAAGUAAACAUCACUUUAUGAGAAGCUUAAAGCAAAGAGGGAAAGAACCUUAAAGAAGGAGGUAGUUGUGGGAAGAGAUGAGGGCUGCGCCUAUGGAGUGGGUUAGUGAUAAUAUUCAAAGUGUCAACCCAAUCAUAUUUGCCAUCUGCUCUCAUCCUCCUUCCAUACCCUUCCAACUCUCCUUCCCUUAUUUUGUAUUUCAGUUUCUCUUCCAAUGGCAGCCUAUAAAAUUCCUCCACCUCGUGCUUCAGUUUCUCCAGCAGUGAUGAGCUAACCCCAUGGUUCACCAACUGCACCGGUAUCACCAUAUCCAUUCAUUAACUACACUCAAUCAUACAUGCAUAUAUAUAUAAAAUUUAGUUUUGGAGAGUGAAGCAGAAAAACCUGAAAGAUGCCCCAGUCUUGGCAAGUAGAGUGCAACUUGUGGAGCUCAAGGUUCUGGUGGUCAUCUUCCAAAAGCAAACGAGACAUGUCGAUGGUUGGUGGCAAAGGAGUGGUGACAGACAAGGAAGGAGGUUGUUGGUUUAUACGAACAAAUGGUUGUGGGAUUGAGAAAUCCUGUGCUGCUAAUUUAACAAGUUCCUGGACGCUAAAUGUUGAAGGAUCGAAGGCAGAGGUGCUAAAAUCAUCUUCCGUGUAUGAUGAUGAUGACCCCAUAGUGUUAAGGAAGGAGUCAGCCUCUUCAAUCUACAACAUACAGCCUAUUGUUGGAGAUAUUUAAAGGGGAAAACAAAGGUUACAGCUGUUUUCGUAUGAGGUAAGAAUACAGAUAGGUAUAAAAGAAGAUAUUGACAUAGAAACAUGAUAAUUUUAAUAAAAAAAAUGGAAAUAGGGUAUUACAAUAUAUUUUUUUAUAAAUAUUUUACAAAUGUAAUUUAUAAAAGUAAGUUGGUCGAAAUUGAACAAUUACUGAUGAAUCUUGAAUCCCAAUUGUUGAAAAUUUAUGAAUGAAAACAUAAUCAAUAUGAGAUCAACAUAAGAUUAUAAUACACAAAAGAGACGAUAUUAAACUUGGUUUGACUCCUUAAUUUUAGAAAAAACAUUAUGACUUAUAACUUUACCAAUAAAGCUACAAACCCCUCAAAUAUUUUGAUAGAAUUACAAGGCCUUACGAAAACAUCAUGUAGCUAUUACAACUCUCC
This 21830-nucleotide long non-coding RNA is filed under the name Gossypium barbadense (sea-island cotton). RNAcentral's name for it is "long non-coding RNA (GBAR_LNC022622)". The record is from RNAcentral. Lineage: Eukaryota; Viridiplantae; Streptophyta; Magnoliopsida; Malvales; Malvaceae.